UCGAGAAUCUUCCGCAAUGGGCGCAAGCCUGACGGAGCGAUGUCGCGUGGUUGAUGAAGUCUUUCGGGAUGUAAAGACCUUUUAUGAGGGAGAAGGUUAUUGAUAGUACCUCAUGAAUAAGGGGUUGCUAAACUCGUGCCAGCAGCAGCGGUAAUACGAGUGCCCCAAGCGUUAUCCGGAAUUAUUGGGUGUAAAGGGUGUGUAGGUGGUCUUAUUAGUCUAAUGUUAAAGAUCUGGGCUUAACCCAGGGAAAGCAUUGGAAACGGUAAGACUAGAGGAUGCGAGAGGUGUGUAGAACUCAUAGUGUAGGGGUGAAAUCCGUUGAUAUUAUGGGGAAUACCAAAAGCGAAGGCAGCACACUGGCGCAUAUCUGACACUGAAACACGAAAGCGUAGGUAGC
Molecule: ribosomal RNA, 400 nt
Filed under: uncultured bacterium
Lineage: Bacteria
Description: bacterial SSU rRNA
Rfam family: Bacterial small subunit ribosomal RNA
Source: RNAcentral